CCUACGGGCGGCUGCAGUGAGGAAUAUUGGUCAAUGGGCGGAAGCCUGAACCAGCCAAGUCGCGUGAGGGAAUAAGGCCCUACGGGUCGUAAACCUCUUUUGCCGGGGAGCAAGGGCUGGGACGUGUCCCGGCCCGGAGAGUACCCGGAGGAAAAGCAUCGGCUAACUCCCUGCCAGCCGGCGCGGUAAUACGGAGGAGGCGAGCGUUAUCCGGAUUGAUUGGGUGUAAAGGGUGCGUAGGCGGGCUUUUAAGUAAGCGGGAAAAAUUCGGGGCUAAACCCCGACCGGUCGUUGAAACUGGGGGCCUUGAGUGGGCGAGAAGAAGGCGGAAUGCGUGGUGUAGCGGUGAAAUGCAUAGAUAUCACGCAGAACACCGAUUGCGAAGGCAGCCUUCCGGAGCCCUACUGACGCUGAGGCACGAAAGUGCGGGGAUCGAACAGGAUUAGAUACCCUGGUAGUC
RNAcentral lists this ribosomal RNA (460 nucleotides) under uncultured bacterium. RNAcentral describes it as "partial 16S ribosomal RNA". It matches the Rfam family "Bacterial small subunit ribosomal RNA", at positions 338 to 795 of the family's 1533-position model. The record is from RNAcentral.